Molecule: transfer RNA, 68 nt
Filed under: Phycisphaerales bacterium
Lineage: Bacteria; Pseudomonadati; Planctomycetota; Phycisphaerae; Phycisphaerales
Description: tRNA-Met
Rfam family: tRNA
About the family: Transfer RNA (tRNA) molecules are approximately 80 nucleotides in length. Their secondary structure includes four short double-helical elements and three loops (D, anti-codon, and T loops).
Source: RNAcentral
CUUAGCUCAGCGGUUAGAGCAGGGAACUCAUAAUUCCUUGGUCGCGGGUUCGAAUCCUGCAGGGCCUA